ACUAGGUAGGGUUGUUGGUUCACUUGCUCAUCUUUUGGCCCUUGGCUUGCAUUUCUUGAGAUUCAAUUUGAGUCUCGCUUCCUCACUUCCUCCUCUCUACAAAUCUAAGUGUUUGGAUUUUGUGUGUGAGAGACUUGGUGGAUUUGAGUUAAUUUGAGUGCUUGGUGUUGACUUCGUGAAGAAAUUUCUUGAGCACUAGAUUCAUCCCCAAGGAAUUUCUUGAGGACACCUAGAUGGCUAGGCGUCGUUACAUGAGCCACCAAA
This 264-nucleotide long non-coding RNA is filed under the name Oryza brachyantha (malo sina). RNAcentral's name for it is "long non-coding RNA (OBRA_LNC001723)". The record is from RNAcentral. Lineage: Eukaryota; Viridiplantae; Streptophyta; Magnoliopsida; Poales; Poaceae.